AGUGAACGCUGGCGGUAGGCCUAACACAUGCAAGUCGAACGGCAGCACAGUAAGAGCUUGCUCUUACGGGCGGCGAGUGGCGGACGGGUGAGGAAAACAUCGGAAUCUACUUUUUCGUGGGGGAUAACGUAGGGAAACUUACGCUAAUACCGCAUACGACCUACGGGUGAAAGCAGGGGAUCUUCGGACCUUGCGCUAUUGAAUGAGCCGAUGUGGGAUUAGCUAGUGGGCGGGGUUACGGCCCACCAAGGCGACGAUCCGUAGAUGGUGUGAGAGGAUGAUAGGCGGCACUGGAACUGGGCCACCGUCCAUGCUACUACGAGAGGCAGCAGUGGGGAAUAGGAGACAAUGGGCGCGAGCCUGGUCCAGCCAUACCGCGUGGGUGAAGGAGGCGUUCGGGGUGUAAAGACGGUUUGUGGGGAGAAAAAAGCAGCCGGCUAAUACGACGCUAUAGUGACGGUACCCAAAGAAGAAGCACCGGCUAACUUCGUG
RNAcentral lists this ribosomal RNA (492 nucleotides) under uncultured bacterium. RNAcentral describes it as "partial 16S ribosomal RNA". It matches the Rfam family "Bacterial small subunit ribosomal RNA", at positions 30 to 507 of the family's 1533-position model. The record is from RNAcentral.